This 465-nucleotide ribosomal RNA is filed under the name Vreelandella stevensii. Its description in RNAcentral is "partial 16S ribosomal RNA". It matches the Rfam family "Bacterial small subunit ribosomal RNA", at positions 338 to 795 of the family's 1533-position model. The record is from RNAcentral. Lineage: Bacteria; Pseudomonadati; Pseudomonadota; Gammaproteobacteria; Oceanospirillales; Halomonadaceae.
CCUACGGGAGGCUGCAGUGGGGAAUAUUGGACAAUGGGGGGAACCCUGAUCCAGCCAUGCCGCGUGUGUGAAGAAGGCCCUCGGGUUGUAAAGCACUUUCAGUGAGGAAGAACGCCUGGUGGUUAAUACCCAUCAGGAAAGACAUCACUCACAGAAGAAGCACCGGCUAACUCCGUGCCAGCAGCCGCGGUAAUACGGAGGGUGCGAGCGUUAAUCGGAAUUACUGGGCGUAAAGCGCGCGUAGGUGGCUUGAUAAGCCGGUUGUGAAAGCCCCGGGCUCAACCUGGGAACGGCAUCCGGACCUGUCAAGCUAGAGUGCAGGAGAGGAAGGUAGAAUUCCCGGUGUAGCGGUGAAAUGCGUAGAGAUCGGGAGGAAUACCAGUGGCGAAGGCGGCCUUCUGGACUGACACUGACACUGAGGUGCGAAAGCGUGGGUAGCAAACAGGAUUAGCUACCCCGGUAGUC